CCUACGGGAGGCAGCAGUGGGGAAUCUUGCGCAAUGGGCGAAAGCCUGACGCAGCCAUGCCGCGUGAAUGAUGAAGGUCUUAGGAUUGUAAAAUUCUUUCACCGGGGACGAUAAUGACGGUACCCGGAGAAGAAGCCCCGGCUAACUUCGUGCCAGCAGCCGCGGUAAUACGAAGGGGGCUAGCGUUGCUCGGAAUUACUGGGCGUAAAGGGAGCGUAGGCGGACAUUUAAGUCAGGGGUGAAAUCCCAGAGCUCAACUCUGGAACUGCCUUUGAUACUGGGUGUCUUGAGUGUGAUAGAGGUAUGUGGAACUCCGAGUGUAGAGGUGAAAUUCGUAGAUAUUCGGAAGAACACCAGUGGCGAAGGCGACAUACUGGAUCAUUACUGACGCUGAGGCUCGAAAGCGUGGGGAGCAAACAGGAUUAGAUACCCUGGUAGUCCACGCCGUAAACGAUGAUUGCUAGUUGUUGGGAUGUUUACAUCUCGGUGACGCAGCUAACGCAUUAAGCAAUCCGCCGNGGAGGUACGGUCGCGAGAAUAAACUACAAUUAGAGUAGUUAGNGUGAGAGNGCGACGGACGACGACGAGGAGAGG
RNAcentral lists this ribosomal RNA (594 nucleotides) under uncultured bacterium. RNAcentral describes it as "bacterial SSU rRNA". The stretch from base 1 to 517 matches the Rfam family "Bacterial small subunit ribosomal RNA", at positions 338 to 873 of the family's 1533-position model. The record is from RNAcentral.